UGAAUUGAUGGGAGAGCACCACCGGAGCGCGAGGGGUGGCGCAUCGGGCACUCGGCUCACCCAACUCCCACAGCUCGAGCUCACUAUAUUCAGCGGCUCCGGUGCGCUCGAGACUUUAUUCACUCCAGAGUCCAACACAGAGACGGACCUGUCGAGCUCUCUAUUCCCCACUGCAAGCUAAGCACUUACUGGAUAGAACACACGGACAACUUUUUACACAGCUAUUUCCGCCUCUCUAUUUUUGGUUUUCAUUACAGGACUUAAACCUGGGAUUGUACCAUUUAAAAAAGACGCAAUUUUUGUUGUUGAAAUAUUUAAAUGUCAUGGUUUUUCAUGUUCAUCGUAUAAAUAAUAAUUUCUGGGUAUAGAAAUAUUUGAGAACAAGGGAAACUGUUACACGUGUUUUCCAACCUCCGACGAAGACUGAACAAGUUAUUCGUUCUUGGGGGGUCGAUAACAAGUGCAAUGAUUGUCAAGGUCUUCUGUUGGGAUUGCCUUACUGCUCAACUGGUCUAAGGAGCCAGCCAUGUCCUUUUGUCUGCUCUACUUCUGUCACGGAGAGAGGGCUCGGAGUGGCGGACGCGCACGAAUGUGAAUUACAUUGCAGUCAACUACUCUACUUCAAAGCACUUCAGAUAUCCGCAGAGUUUCCCAAACAAGUGUUUAGGAGUUGUACCGCGGGCGACUGAACGGGACUACUCACAUGUUCCUCUCCCCAAGGGAUGGUUCUUGAUCAUCUGCGGGCAGGAGCGACUUUGCGGCUCCUACAGCAGGAGACGUUUUCUUGUUUUGGGGGAAAUCGGAAUUAAAGGGAGAUGAGACCCGUACUUUGCUACUUCCUGCUCUGUACAUCGUACCUGCUGAAUGCUGUUGCUGAGGAAGUCCCGCAGGAGUUGAUAGAGAGACUGUCCCACAGCGAAAUCCACAGCAUCAGCGACCUCCAGCGGCUAUUGGACUCCGAGAUAGACGCCCCCGUAGGUGCGGAAAAUGAGGUCAUGGAGGAGACCAAGCCGAUGCAGAAGCAUCAUAAGAACUACUCCCAACAACACGGCUACUCAGACCUGAAGAGCUCACAGAUACACAGCCGACGCAAGAGGAGCGUUGAGGAGGCGGUGCCUGCGGUGUGUAAGACGCGGACGGUGAUCUAUGAGAUCCCGCGCAGCCAGGUGGACCCCACGGCUGCCAACUUUCUGAUAUGGCCGCCGUGCGUGGAGGUCAAGAGGUGCACGGGAUGCUGCAACACCAGCAACAUGCGCUGCCACCCCUCACGCAGACACCACCGUACCGUUAAGGUGGCCAAGGUGGAGUAUGUGCGCAGGAAACCCAAGCUGAAGGAGGUCUUGAUCAGGUUAGAAGACCACCUGGAGUGUGUGUGCACGUCACAACAUCACGUGACCGAGCACUCAGACGCAGACACAGGCCACCAUACUAGGGCUAAAGGUAGAAAAAGGAAACCUAAAAAGCUAAAGCUCAACAAGGAUUUAUUGGCGACAUAAUAAACUUGAACACAUUAUUCCAAAGUCUGGCCGCCGGACCCCCCGGCUCCAACAGUCGACAUAAGGUGAGACCCCAGCAGCAUUGGACUUCAGUGUGGAAGGGGCCAAAGAGAGGAUGCUGCCAUAUUUGGACUGCUGACCUACCCCCUUCCCUGACCCCACCCCACACCACCUACCGCCUUUUAAAAACAAAGAUUACUGUAAAGAGAAAAAAAGUUAAUAAAAUGCCAAAGGUGCUUUUUUCUAUUACCGUAAAAAGUAAUGCAGAAGGUCUCUGCCAAGCGCAGCAGAACCAACCAAUCAAACAAUGAUGCGGAUGAGGAUGGUGAAGCCGAUAAAGAGCUGGGCAGAAAAGAGAGGAGGAGGAGGACAAGAUGGGUUGUCGUUUGUUGGGUAACAGGACAAUUUGACGAUCACAGAGAGAGAUCCAGGAUGGAUCAUUGGAUUAAGCCUCGAUGGGGGAUCUGUUGACUGGAUCCUAAAAGGACACAGAGAGGGACAAUCAAUGGACUCUUCGGGAUGUGUGGAGGCUUGCAUGUUCCUAGCCGUUGGCCUAAGUGACACUUGCCUGGACAGUCAAUGACUGACAGAGAGAGAGGGAGAGAGGGAAAGAGAUGUUGAGAGAAGUUGUAGAGAGGUGUAGAAGGUACUGGUCGUGUUGCUUGUUGUUCCGGAACUCUCUGUACACUGUAGUGGAACUUGUGAACAUUCUGGAACUCAUAAAAUGGUUGCCCAUUUUGUCUCUUUUGGAUAGUGUUGGGAAAAGUGUUGGGAAAAGUGUUUGGAAUCAUCAGGACCUGUUGUUCCAAGAUGGCUUCUCUGCUUCUCUCUCUUGGGUUUCCCUAUCUGCUCCUAUUGGGAUUGUGCCAGUCGCCAUAUACACUACAGAACGAUUCAGAAAGGAAGAUUCAUUCAUUGCUACUAAUAAACUAUUUAUACGUGUGAACGUUUUCAUUUCUCUCUCUCUCCCUCCAAGACAUUGUUAUGUUUUCUGUGACAUGUAAGAGUCAUGUUCUGUCUGAUCCUCUGGUAGUGAAUCUUCAUGUCCACAUGUUGUUUGUAGUUGUUCAUGUAGUUGUUACUCAUGUUCAAUGUUGCCUUAUUAUGUGCCAGUAUAUUAUCUGAACAGUCUCAAGUCUAGUUGUAUGGGCUGGAAAUGUAAGGAAGCGUGGCGAGGAGGAGAUGGGAGGACAGAGUCUGUACAAGUACAGGAAGAUGCUUUAUUUUUGUUAAAAAAAUAUAUUAUGCUUACUUAUAUUCAAGCAGGAAGUAUGUUUGUUAUUUCUUUGUUUGUUGUGGUUGAAUGCUUUUAUGUAAUCCAUGGAAACGAUGCAGGAAUGGGGGUGAGGACAUGUAUAAGGCCCCAGCAAUGCACCCUGUUUGGUGCUGUAGGGUAGGCUUACAUCAGCAGUGCUGUACUCUAUUAUCUAGAGAGCUGGAUAGCGCUAACCUGGUCCCAGAUCAGUUUGUGUUGUCCUGCAAACACAUAUAGUCAUUGGCAAGACAGCACAAACCGAUCUGAGAUCAGUCUGGCUGAGGAAGACUCAAUCUGGGACAUCGUUGGACUGUGUCUCUUUAACUCUGUUAUCUAGCCAAAAGUUACACCCAGUAACCAGAGCGUCAUUAUACACAACAGAACACACACGUUCAGCAUGUGUGUGUGUGCACAUAAAUGUGUGUGUGAAACCACUUUUAACCCACAUCACACUCCUUUGAUAAGAUGGUGCCCAGUCCGCCCUACCAGCACACAAGUUGUUCUUAACGAGUACAAAGUCCAUCUUGAAUGAGAGAGUUGGUGAACAAACCAACAUGAAUGGUUUCCUAGUUAAUCAAGCAGCAGUCUUCCAUUGACACGUUAACAACGGAGAAGACUGUUCCACUGUUGAUGAGUGAAAGAUAGAAAAAGAAGAUACCACUGUUUAUGGAGAGACUGACACCAAAUCUCUAACAACACCCUAUUUCCCGUAGAGUGCAGUGCACUACUUUAGACCAGAGCCACUGGCCAAAAGUAGUGCGCUACAUAGGGAAUAGGUUGUCGUUUGGCACACACUGAAUCAAUAGAAAGACCUGGGCACUUUCCCAAAAUGUCUCAGAGUAGGAGUGCUGUUCAUCUUAUUCAUUAUGAUCUAAACAGCUAAACUGAUCCAAGAUCAGCACUUGAUGAAGUCCUGGGUGAGAGGCAUGUUGAGAGAAAAUAGAUGACUGAAGAAGCAACAACAGUGUAUCUGCAGCUGCUUGGUGUUGCGGUAACAACAUGUUCAUCUGCACUAUACAGACUUCCAAGGUGAUUCCAUUGGUGCUAUAUGUAUAAAGGAAAUCAGAAGAAGUUUCACCACCAUUUUGCAGUGCAUUUCUUCAUUCAUUGUCAAUAGACCAGGGACCACUGCUUACAGUAACUAAAGGAACCACAACAACACAAGCUUUUACCAUGUUUUAUUUGGGCCUCUAUUGGAUAAAAACAGCAAUGAUUAUAAUUUAUAUAUUUAUGUUUUCAAUAAUAAAUGCAUUCUGCUUAUCAAACUGUA
This is an RNA transcript of Salvelinus namaycush (lake trout), 4021 nucleotides long. It is a transcript of the gene named platelet-derived growth factor subunit A-like, with no coding region annotated. The record is from RefSeq and is a predicted model, not a curated record. Lineage: Eukaryota; Metazoa; Chordata; Actinopteri; Salmoniformes; Salmonidae. The transcript has 7 exons.